ACGGGAGGCAGCAGUGGGGAAUAUUGGGCAAUGGGCGCAAGCCUGACCCAGCGACGCCGCGUGAGUGAUGAAGUAUUUCGGUAUGUAAAGCUCUUUAAGCAGGGAAGAUAAUGAGGGUACCUGCAGAAUAAGCACCGGCUAAAUACGUGCCAGCAGCCGCGGUAGUACGUAUGGUGCAAGCGUUAUCCGGAUUUACUGGGUGUAAAGGGAGCGUAGGUGGUUUGGCAAGCCAGAAGUGAAAACCCGGGGCUCAACUCCGUGGAUUGCUUUUGGAACUGUUGGACUAGAGUGCAGGAGGGGUAAGCGGAAUUCCCAGUGUAGCGGUGAAAUGCGUAGAUAUUGGGAGGAACACCAGCGGCGAAGGCGGCUUACUGGACUGUUACUGACACUGAGGCUCGAAAGCGUGGGGAGCAAACAGGAUUAGAUACCCUGGUA
Molecule: ribosomal RNA, 435 nt
Filed under: uncultured Lachnospiraceae bacterium
Lineage: Bacteria; Bacillati; Bacillota; Clostridia; Lachnospirales; Lachnospiraceae
Description: partial 16S ribosomal RNA
Rfam family: Bacterial small subunit ribosomal RNA
Source: RNAcentral